GCUUACGGCCACACCGCCUGGUUCACGCCCGAUCUCGUUUGAUCUCGGAAGCUAAGAUAGGUUGGGCCUGGUUAGUACUUGGAUGAGAGACUGCCUGGGAAUACCAGGUGCUGUAAGGU
This 119-nucleotide ribosomal RNA is filed under the name Scophthalmus maximus (turbot). Lineage: Eukaryota; Metazoa; Chordata; Actinopteri; Pleuronectiformes; Scophthalmidae. The record is from RNAcentral.